RNAcentral lists this ribosomal RNA (468 nucleotides) under uncultured bacterium. RNAcentral's name for it is "bacterial SSU rRNA". It matches the Rfam family "Bacterial small subunit ribosomal RNA", at positions 328 to 792 of the family's 1533-position model. The record is from RNAcentral.
CUGCCAGACUCCUACGGGAGGCAGCAGUGAGGAAUAUUGGUCAAUGGGCGGAAGCCUGAACCAGCCAAGUCGCGUGAGGGAAGAAGGCCCUGCGGGUCGCAGACCUCUUUGGACGGGGAGCAAGGCCGCCGACGUGUCGGCGGAAGGAGAGUACCCGUAGAACAAGCAUCGGCUAACUCCGUGCCAGCAGCCGCGGUAAUACGUAGGGAGCGAGCGUUGUCCGGAAUUACUGGGUGUAAAGGGAGCGUAGGCGGGAUUGCAAGUUGGAUGUGAAAACUGCGGGCUCAACCCGGAGCGUGCAUUCAAAACUGCGAUUCUUGAGUGAAGUAGAGGCAAGCGGAAUUCCUAGUGUAGCGGUGAAAUGCGUAGAUAUUAGGAGGAACACCAGUGGCGAAGGCGGCUUGCUGGGCUUUUACUGACGCUGAGGCUCGAAAGUGUGGGGAGCAAACAGGAUUAGAUACCCGCGUA